This 22-nucleotide microRNA is filed under the name Danio rerio (zebrafish). Its description in RNAcentral is "dre-miR-153b-5p". Its record names the gene dre-miR-153b-5p. Lineage: Eukaryota; Metazoa; Chordata; Actinopteri; Cypriniformes; Danionidae. RNAcentral also lists the same sequence under 3 other names. The record is from miRBase by way of RNAcentral.
GUCAUUUUUGUGGUUUGCAGCU